RNAcentral lists this ribosomal RNA (497 nucleotides) under uncultured bacterium. RNAcentral describes it as "partial 16S ribosomal RNA". It matches the Rfam family "Bacterial small subunit ribosomal RNA", at positions 28 to 507 of the family's 1533-position model. The record is from RNAcentral.
GAUGAACGCUGGCGGCGUGCCUAAUACAUGCAAGUCGAGCGAACGGACGAGAAUUUUGCUUGUCUGCUGUUAGCGGCGGACGGGUGAGUACCACGAAGAUAACCUACCUAUAAGACUGGCAUAACUUCAGGAAACCGAAUAUCACAUCGGUUAUUAUUUUGAACCGCAUGGUUCAAAAGAGAAAGCGGUUCUUGCUGACACUAAUACAUGUAUCCACGUUGCAUUAGCUAGUUGUUAAGGGAACGGCCUACCAUGGCAACGAUGCAUGGCCGACCUGAGAGGAUGAUCAGCCACACUGGAACUGAGACACGGUCCAGACUCCUAAGGGAGGCAGCAGUGGGAAAUAUUCCACAAUGGGCGAAAGCCUGACUGAGCCAAGCCGCGUGUGUGAAGAAGGUCUUCGGAUCGUAAAACACUGUUAUUAGGGAAGAACCUAUGUAGGAGUAUCUUUGCCCGUCUUGACGGUACCUAAACAGAAAGCCACGGCUAACUACGUG